UACGACUACAUAUCAGGCAUAUCAAUAAGCGGAGGAAAAGAAACUAACAAGGAUUCCCUUAGUAACGGCGAGUGAAGCGGGAAGAGCUCAAAUUUGAAAUCUUCAAGGUUUUACCUUGACGAAUUGUAGUUUAAAGAAGUGUUUUCUGUUGAAGUUUUGGUAAAAGUUCUUUGGAAUAGGACAUCAUAGAGGGUGAGAAUCCCGUAUUUGACCAUUAUUUUCAGCUGUGUGAUACACUUUCAAAGAGUCGGAUUGUUUGGGAAUGCAGUCCAAAAUGGGUGGUAAAUUUCAUCUAAAGCUAAAUAUUGGCGAGAGACCGAUAGCGAACAAGUACCGUGAGGGAAAGAUGAAAAGAACUUUGAAAAGAGAGUUAAACAGUACGUGAAAUUGUCAAAAGGGAAGCGUUUGACACCAGUGUUGUUUUCUCGAAAAUCAAUUAAAAAAAGUUGGAUUUUGUGUUGUAUUGACCUUAACAGCUUGCUUCACUCUUUUCCAGCUUUUUUUAAUGCACUUUUCGUUUAACAAGUCAACAUCAGUUUCUUUUGUUGUAAAAGGGUCAUUGGAAGGUGGCUUUCUUUUCGGAGAAAGUGUUUAUAGCCUUUGAUCUCCUGCAAUCGGAGAGACUGAGGUCUGCAGCGUAGAUCCUUCGGGGUUAGAUACAUUUGUGCUAAGUUAUAGCCUUUUCAUAGACAACUUGUUGACUAUGUACCAGUCAUGUAACUUACUCGCUUAUGCUAUUUUACCUACGCUUAGGAUGUUGAGCGCAUGUCUCUCUC
Molecule: ribosomal RNA, 776 nt
Filed under: uncultured Neocallimastigales
Lineage: Eukaryota; Fungi; Neocallimastigomycota; Neocallimastigomycetes; Neocallimastigales
Description: partial large subunit ribosomal RNA
Rfam family: Eukaryotic large subunit ribosomal RNA
Source: RNAcentral